CCUACGGGUGGCAGCAGUAGGGAAUAUUGCUCAAUGGGGGAAACCCUGAAGCAGCAACGCCGCGUGGAGGAUGAAGGUUUUCGGAUUGUAAACUCCUUUUGUUAGAGAAGAUAAUGACGGUAUCUAACGAAUAAGCACCGGCUAACUCCGUGCCAGCAGCCGCGGUAAUACGGAGGAUGCGAGCGUUAUCCGGAUUUAUUGGGUUUAAAGGGUGCGUAGGCGGGCCUUCAGGCCGGCGGUAAAAUUGCGGGGCUCAACCCCGCCGAGCCGUCGGAACCGGGGGCCUUGAGUACCGGAGAAGUACGCGGAAUGCGUGGUGUAGCGGUGAAAUGCAUAGAUAUCACGCAGAACCCCGAUUGCGAAGGCAGCGUACCGGCCGGUCACUGACGCUGAGGCACGAAAGCGCGGGUAUCGAACAGGAUUAGAUACCCUAGUAGUC
RNAcentral lists this ribosomal RNA (439 nucleotides) under uncultured bacterium. RNAcentral describes it as "partial 16S ribosomal RNA". It matches the Rfam family "Bacterial small subunit ribosomal RNA", at positions 338 to 795 of the family's 1533-position model. The record is from RNAcentral.